Molecule: unclassified non-coding RNA, 19 nt
Filed under: synthetic construct
Description: RNA (5'-R(P*AP*AP*AP*AP*CP*CP*CP*AP*GP*GP*GP*AP*AP*CP*CP*CP*AP*CP*U)-3') from synthetic construct (PDB 8P4A, chain P)
Source: RNAcentral
AAAACCCAGGGAACCCACU